Stegostoma tigrinum is the source of this 1438-nucleotide long non-coding RNA. RefSeq lists it as uncharacterized. NCBI's taxonomy places the organism in Eukaryota, Metazoa, Chordata, Chondrichthyes, Orectolobiformes, Stegostomatidae. The transcript has 4 exons. The record is from RefSeq and is a predicted model, not a curated record.
UUGUCCGGAGACGCAAUAUCUCUGCGACUGAAGGUUAGCUGCUUGCCGAAAGUACAGUACACGGGACAAAAAGGAAAGCUGCAAAAAAACGGGAGGGAAAUACUUUCGGUAUUGACUGAGAGGCUUUAAUAGCCGUUGAUGCAUGUCAGAAAACAAAUUUUAACAUGCCGGCCCCGUGUUUUGCAGCAAACGAAAAAACUGCUGCGGACCUGAGGCUGCGAUAGGCAGAGGUAAUUGCCACCAUCUUUAUUAGGGGCAAUGAUCUUCGGGACUCAUGCGGGAUCGCCAUAUUUAUAGGUGGCAAUCUGCAGUGGAACGCAAGCGCAGCCUUUCUUGUUUGGGAGAGGAGAUUAAGACAAGAGAAAUGUUUGUUUUUGUUUUUCUGGACUUCUUUCCCAGACUGUGAGACAUGGCGUGUAUUUCCUGGGAAGGACUUUUGACACUGGCGGAGUACUGGCUUCAGGCAGUAUAAAUUGCUGCAAGUUAUACGUUAGAUAUUUGAUGGAGGAGAAAUGCCGAAAACGCGUUCAGAACUGCAUGUUCAAAAACAAAGUUGCUGGAAAAGCUCAGAUAUUUAUUGAGAAUAAUUUGCAGACCAGGAUCACAAAGCAUGUUCUCCAUUAAGCGGAGUGAUCAGGAUCUGAGUAUCAUUGACACUUAACUGGGAAAGGGAAGAGGUUUAACCAUUCUAUGCGUGGGAGAAUAUUCCUGGACUCUUUUAUACCCCCCACAGGACCUUUCGUGAUCUAAUCCCGAAACAGUGUGAGCUGCUACAAUGCAUGUGCUAGUAAAAGCAUAAGAGGACAGAUGAGAUGAGUGCAUGGCUGGAGCUAUAACUUAAAAGGAUUUUGAACAUUAAAGGAAGAAGCACUGUUCACACCAGGGAGAAAUGCGUAUUGUCUGUGUGUCGAAGAUUCUGUGAAGAUUCAUCUGAAAUGCCCAAACACCAGCACGGUCACACUGGGGAGAGACUGUGGUAAUGUGGGGAUUGUGGGAAGGGAUUUAUUUACCCAUCCCAGCUGGAAAUGCACCAACGCAGUCACACUGGGGAGAAACUGUUCAUUUGCUCUGAUUGUGGGCUGGGAUUCACUCAGUCAAGCAACCUGCUGAAACACCAACGAGUUCACAGUGGGGACAGACUGUUCACAUGUUCCGAGUAUGGGAAGGGAUUUGCUCACUCAACCAACCUGCUGAGACACCAGCGAGUUCACUCUGGGGACAGACCAUUCACUUGUUCUAUGUGUGGAAAGGGAUUCACUCAAUCAUCCCAACUGUUAACACACCAGCAAGUUCACCACAACCACAUUUGAAGGAUUUUGCCCUUAAAUCAAGGAAUGAACUUUGAUCUUUGGGCUGUUUGUACUGGUGUCAUUAGUCCCUGCUCAAAACUUGAUCUUCUCUUGGGAAAUAAGGUAGGGCAGGUGACUGAGGGGUCAGC